Molecule: long non-coding RNA, 436 nt
Organism: Alexandromys fortis (reed vole)
Lineage: Eukaryota; Metazoa; Chordata; Mammalia; Rodentia; Cricetidae
Exons: 2
Source: RefSeq, a predicted model, not a curated record
UACGGACUCGUGCAGAAUCCUUGGACUGCAGUCUUUCCAUGACUUCUUGCUGAGCACGUGGCAGCCAGUUUCUAAGACAUCCAAUGUGAGGUAGAACAGGGAGCCCAUGUCCUCCUAUAUGUGCUCCCGAGCAUCAUGCACUCGCGAGAGACUCAACACAUAGCCAUCCUUUUGGUCUGUGUUGAUGUUCUGCAUGGUGAAGCCUGCAACUGCCAGCACGUCAGAGUCGUUACAGUUCCGGGGACGCAGAAGAUAGGAGCGGGGAGGCUUCGGGAGAGGUGGUGCAGGAACAGAACGAGCCUCGCAGCAUGCAGCCAGGGCGCAGAACACCACAAGUCGGAGCAGAGCCAUUCUGUGGGGAACCAAGGUCCAGGAUGGGGUCGGUGUGUAGAGAUGACAGGAUGGGCCUCCUUGUGGGGCUUCAAGAUGGACUUGA